Molecule: ribosomal RNA, 382 nt
Filed under: Streptococcus cristatus
Lineage: Bacteria; Bacillati; Bacillota; Bacilli; Lactobacillales; Streptococcaceae
Description: bacterial SSU rRNA
Rfam family: Bacterial small subunit ribosomal RNA
Source: RNAcentral
CGAACGGGUGAGUAACGCGUAGGUAACCUGCCUGGUAGCGGGGGAUAACUAUUGGAAACGAUAGCUAAUACCGCAUAAAAUUGAUUAUUGCAUGAUAGUCAAUUGAAAGGUGCAACUGCACCACUACCAGAUGGACCUGCGUUGUAUUAGCUAGUUGGUGGGGUAACGGCUCACCAAGGCGACGAUACAUAGCCGACCUGAGAGGGUGAUCGGCCACACUGGGACUGAGACACGGCCCAGACUCCUACGGGAGGCAGCAGUAGGGAAUCUUCGGCAAUGGACGGAAGUCUGACCGAGCAACGCCGCGUGAGUGAAGAAGGUUUUCGGAUCGUAAAGCUCUGUUGUAAGAGGAGAACGAGUGUGAGAGUGGAAAGUUCACACU